UCAAACGUGAGAGAUUUUCAGAAAUUCAAGAAAUGCUACAUUUUCCACUUUAUAAAUCAUCAUUUCCAUAUAAUUUGCACGAGCUUUGCAAUCCAUCAUAAUUGAUUUCCGUCUUGUAUCUUCCCGCUUUGCAAAAUUAGUGCUAAAUGCAUAUUCCAGUCAAUAACAAUUUAUUUUUAACAGCAAGAUUAUAGAUCUGGAUUACCUACAUAUUAAUCACACAGUUGAUUCAACGGGGGGAAGAACCGUAAAAUCUCCGUGACGAAUGGGAAAAAAGAGCUGUAGCUAAAUGCGCUCGUAAAAAGUGUUGUUCUCACUGCUUCAAUUUUUUGCAGAACUGAAAGAAGCAUUGGUCAUGCUUGAGCUGUUCGUUUAGAAAAUAGAAUUAAAAAACAGUAUACAGAUACCCAGGAUGAACGCCUUGGUUGAAGCGACGCACAUGUAAAACCAGAUGUAUCGGAUCAGCCGCACUCACUCUGGCGUACAUAGCGCGGGGUGUAGCGGAUUGCUUCUAUUUAGAUAUUCAACUUAAACCCUGGGAUGUGGCGGCAGGAACGCUGAUUUUACGCGAAGCGGGUGGAACUAUUAUAGAUACGAAGGGUGGUGUUUACAAUAUUAUGAAGCCGAAUACUAUCGCAGCGUCAAACGAAACUCUAGCACGAAAAAUAUCUAAAUUAGUCAUCGACACUGAUUUAAAAACGCAAAGGAAAAGACUCCAGAGAACCUCAGACGCAAAGCAAUGACUCAUGCUAAUUGAUUUAAGAGCUGAGUGUAAAACAGCAGGAGGUGUGUCCCAGCAACUUGUAUUUAUCACGUGAUACGAGGAAAUUACCUAUAAAAAUCAGUUUAGAAAAGUUUCCGUUAAAAAGGCCCAUUGACGCAUUUACAGUCGUUAUACGAAGUCAAUCCCAUUGCGUUAACCAGUGUGCCAUCACAAUGUUGUGAAAUGAAAAGCUUCCUUUCGAUCGAUUUCCCCGUCGUUGUUUAUAAAUAAAACAAAAUUAUUGUAAAGCGCAA
This is an RNA transcript of Temnothorax curvispinosus, 1017 nucleotides long. It is a transcript of the gene named inositol monophosphatase 1-like, with no coding region annotated. The transcript is spliced from 3 exons. The record is from RefSeq and is a predicted model, not a curated record. NCBI's taxonomy places the organism in Eukaryota, Metazoa, Arthropoda, Insecta, Hymenoptera, Formicidae.